This 427-nucleotide ribosomal RNA is filed under the name uncultured bacterium. RNAcentral describes it as "partial 16S ribosomal RNA". It matches the Rfam family "Bacterial small subunit ribosomal RNA", at positions 355 to 774 of the family's 1533-position model. The record is from RNAcentral.
UGGGGAAUAUUGCACAAUGGGCGCAAGCCUGAUGCAGCCAUGCCGCGUGUAUGAAGAAGGCCUUCGGGUUGUAAAGUACUUUCAGCGGGGAGGAAGGCGAUAAGGUUAAUAACCUUGUCGAUUGACGUUACCCGCAGAAGAAGCACCGGCUAACUCCGUGCCAGCAGCCGCGGUAAUACGGAGGGUGCAAGCGUUAAUCGGAAUUACUGGGCGUAAAGCGCACGCAGGCGGUCUGUCAAGUCGGAUGUGAAAUCCCCGGGCUCAACCUGGGAACUGCAUUCGAAACUGGCAGGCUAGAGUCUUGUAGAGUGGGGUAGAAUUCCAGGUGUAGCGGUGAAAUGCGUAGAGAUCUGGAGGAAUACCGGUGGCGAAGGCGGCCCCCUGGACAAAGACUGACGCUCAGGUGCGAAAGCGUGGGGAGCAAACA